CGGAACGGGUGAGUAAUGCGUGACCAACCUGCCCCAUGCUCCAGAACAGCUCUUGGAAACGGGUGGUAAUGCUGGAUGCUCCAACUUGACGCAUGUCUUGUUGGGAAAGUGUUUAGUGGCAUGGGAUGGGGUCGCGUCCUAUCAGCUUGUAGGCGGGGUAAUGGCCCACCUAGGCUUCGACGGGUAGCCGGCCUGAGAGGGCGGACGGCACAUUGGGACUGAGAUACGGCCCAGACUCCUACGGGAGGCAGCAGGU
This 256-nucleotide ribosomal RNA is filed under the name uncultured Gardnerella sp. Its description in RNAcentral is "partial 16S ribosomal RNA". It matches the Rfam family "Bacterial small subunit ribosomal RNA", at positions 98 to 354 of the family's 1533-position model. Lineage: Bacteria; Bacillati; Actinomycetota; Actinomycetes; Bifidobacteriales; Bifidobacteriaceae. The record is from RNAcentral.